RNAcentral lists this ribosomal RNA (253 nucleotides) under uncultured bacterium. RNAcentral describes it as "partial 16S ribosomal RNA". It matches the Rfam family "Bacterial small subunit ribosomal RNA", at positions 524 to 776 of the family's 1533-position model. The record is from RNAcentral.
UACGUAGGUGGCAAGCGUUGUCCGGAAUUAUUGGGCGUAAAGCGCGCGCAGGCAGUCUUUUAAGUCUGAUGUGAAAGCCCACGGCUCAACCGUGGAGGGUCAUUGGAAACUGGGAGACUUGAGUGCAGAAGAGAAGAGUGGAAUUCCACGUGUAGCGGUGAAAUGCGUAGAGAUGUGGAGGAACACCAGUGGCGAAGGCGACUCUUUGGUCUGUAACUGACGCUGAGGCGCGAAAGCGUGGGGAGCAAACAGG